Molecule: ribosomal RNA, 234 nt
Filed under: uncultured bacterium
Lineage: Bacteria
Description: partial 16S ribosomal RNA
Rfam family: Bacterial small subunit ribosomal RNA
Source: RNAcentral
UGAGUAACCUGCCCUUAACUCUGGGAUAAGCCUGGGAAACUGGGUCUAAUACCGGAUAUGACUCCUCAUCGCAUGGGUGGGGGGUGGAAAGCUUUUUGUGGUUUUGGAUGGACUCGCGGCCUAUCAGCUUGUUGGUGAGGUAAUGGCUUACCAAGGCGACGACGGGUAGCCGGCCUGAGAGGGUGACCGGCCGCACUGGGACUGAGACACAGCCCAGACUCCUACGAGAGGCAG